GUAAACUGAUAAAGGCUGAUCUGAGCUGCUUUCUGGGUGGGUAAGGGGAGAAGCAUUGUGAGCUGGGACUGGAAUGUGUUGCUGAGCCUGGAAAACACAACCCUGUGUUUUCCUCUAGGUGGAUAUUGAGGACUUGUGCUCAAUGUCCGGCCCCGUCAAGUCCUGGGGGUCCUGUUCUGCUGCUGAGCAUGUAGGCAUCAAUUGCAACAGCUCAGCCCAUCCUUGGGCUCCUCACCCCAUCACAAGUGAUUUUGCAAGGGAAAAAAGUUUAAAGUCCACCUCCUUACUCAACACCAACAUGCCCAGGUCUGCCAGCAAAAACACAAAGCACACCCACAGCAAUGCAGAGCUCAUUCUUUACCCCCAAAGGCCCCAUAAAGCCCCCCCAGAUCACCUGGAGGUGCAAAACCUGCUGAGGUCUUGCGUUGUCUUGCAGUGGAGGUGCAAAAGGGCAAGGAGCAGUGCCUGCGCAACGCCCUGGGCUGCUGCAAUCAGCCCAUCCUUUCUUGCAAUCCCUCUUGGCAGGCCAAGGCGAGCGGGGAGGGCCCUCUCACAUAGGCUGGCUGCUCUCCAAGGAGAAGCAAAUGCAAAUAUUUCUUCACUUUGGGCUGGGUGCGGCCUGGGGAUAAAAUUUCCCUGGUCUUUCCCAGAGAAGGCAUCCGACACCGUGCCCUGCUCCCAGGAACAUGAGAAUGUAGGACAAAAAACCACAAAGGUUAUCUUUCUUGCAGCUCUAGGGUUGCUAAAAGGAGCUGACAGGCGCGACCGUAACAUUUUUAAACCAGCGAUCACGGUUUUCCUUUGUAACAAAAAAGGCCUUUCGCAGGUUUCAUUUGCAAGCUGAAGAUUUUGGUGCAGCAUAAGCAAGGCUGUAAAGGGAAACGGGUUGGAAACGGCCCCAUCAGCCGUGAGAAAUGUGAAAAGCAGGCGGUGGACUGAGGGAGAGCUGAGCUGGAUUCCUGGCGUGCCUUCCCUCUGCCAUCACUGCCUCCGAGGUGAAAGCUGCUGGGGAGCGGCGAGCAGGAGCCAGCACUGCAGCGAGAUGGGGAAACUGAGGCUGGAGCAGUCGAGAAGGGAGAAGGAAUGGCAACAGUGCUUUGUUUUUCUUUUAAAAUGGAUUUUAGAGCAGCUGGAGGAAAUCUUUUUUUUUAUUUCCCCCUCCCCCCUCUUUGGUUGACCUGAGUUAAUUGUGAGCAUGUCCCAGCUGGCUUGCUGCAGUGUCAUCCUUUCUGGCAGAGCAUUCGGAUCCAUUUUUUGCACUUCCCUGCGCUCGACACAACCUAAAAGCCAGCAGCUCUCAUGAAAUGCGCUCUGGUUAAGGGAGAGGGCUGGAAAGCAGCUGGAAUUGUUCUGGGUUAAAAAUAAGCGGAGCAGCGCGAGCCCUGAAAUCCUCCAGCUUCGUGAUUUGGAGCAUAGCCAGGAUGAAAAAAAAAAAAAAAGAAAAAAAAAACGGGGAAAAAAAAAAAAAAAAAACAACAAACCACAAAGAAAAUAACACUGUGCUAUUGUCCUUCUAUCCAGAGAUCUGUUUACAGAGAAUCCCACAGCAGGACCUGCAUGGAUCGUCCCCUCCAUACGCAGCGCUGGGGGGUUAUUUUUAACGCAAUGUUUUCCAUACGCCAGGAAAAAAAAAAAAAAAUCGAUGCAUCCCAUUAUGCAAGCCUUGUUACCGGGCUGUAAAUGAUAUUCCGGGUUAUUAAAUAAAUAAAUAAGGCAAAAUAAAAUUAAAAAUCACCCAACCCACCCUAUUUCUGAAAAUAGACACGGGAGCUCUGACAGCAUCCAUCCUAUCAUCAGUGUGGAUUACAGCACCCUGCAGCCCUGGUUUUCCAGAUGGAAUUAAGGAUUUUUGCCCAGCUCUGACUUGGAGUGGUUUAUUUUCUUCAUUAUUUCUCUGGGGCGCUGAUGGGAGCCCAAAGGUGUGUGCUUUAUUUAAAAAUAUUUAUAUAGAAAAAGGCAGGAGGUGUCUAUCUGUCAGGGAGGCUCACGGACAUCAGCAAAGGGUGAGGGGAAUAUCUUCUGAAAUUAAACAUAUCCCUUAAUUCUGUGAAAGGUCAAACUUUCCCUCACAGACCUCAUCUCCUUAACGCAAGUGGCUGUACGCAGGGUGCUGAGGAGACCUUGUCCCCUUGUCCCCUUUUCCCGACCCUGUUUUAAGAACACCGCGUAACCUUAUUUUGUGAAGGAAAAAACAACAACAACAACAAAAUUGUGAGGGUAAAUGAGCGAACGGAGGAUGUUUUUCUCACAGAAAGGGGAGGGGGAGGCAGACGGCCGCGCGGUACAGCGCCGCCCGCGGUACUGCAGGGCCCCGCCCGCUGCUCGCUUCACAAAAUGGCGCCCGGCGGGGCCGCGCCGAGCGGUACUGAGGCGACAAAAUGGCGGCGGGCGGAGAGCGCGGGAAGGGCCCGCGGCGCCCUGAGGGCCGCUCGUUCCCUUCCCGUCCCCCUCACCGUCCCAUUUUGAAGUGUUUUUUUCCCCUCACAGCGUGAAGAUUUUGGGGUCAACGCUGCUCUUUCCUCCCCCUCCACACGCGCCCUCCCAGGUGGGUAUUUCGAUAGCUUGAUGCCUAAUUUCUCCCCCUCCACUUCUCUCCUCCGCAGGGGUUGCAAUCGCUGUCCUCACCGCGUGGAAAAUGCCCAAUUAAAAAAACAAAAACAAAAAAAAAAAAAAAAAAAAAAAGCAAAACAACGCUAAAAAAGCCCCAAACAGCCGAGGACUGAGGGAAGGAACUGCCUCCUCACGGCCACCGUUCUGGUAAUUAAAAACAUACAUGUGGUGAGAUCAGAUGUGGUAAUACUGUUAAAAAGAAAAAAAAAAAAAAUCCUGUCAUAUUCUUGUGCUGCAGCUGCAAUACCACACAUCUUUCUGUGCUUUUUUUUUUUAUUGUUUGUAAUGCUUCCUUACCUUUAUCCACACCACAGUGUAGCAUUGCCCCUCCUUUGUUAAAAGCCUCAUACCUAAAAUACCUUUUUUUUUUCUUUUAAAAUUAGAGAUUUAGGGCCGUGCAGGUGCUCUUUAUUCCCACAUGUCUCUAUAUAUCUCCUUAUCCCAGAGAUGGAUUGCAGAACAAAGCCACUCACCUACAACGCUAUGAUCCAAUUACACACAAUUACUCUCACUUUGGCCCGUACGUAUCUUGGAUUUUAUAUAUUUAUUACCUUUGUUUUCCUCCAUUGGCUUUCUACUGUCCUAAGAGCAAGAGGGAAAAAAAAUUACACGCACACACCCAAAAGAAAAAAAAAAAAGACGAAAAAUAAUAGUUAAAAAAGGUAAAAACAAGCAAAAUGCGACCAGCCGCCCAUUUGAUCAGUCCGUGGUGAAGAUUGGUGCCUGAAUGCUUUAUUUGUUCCACAGAGGUGUAGAUUUCCCUUGGGAUGUUGGGGAAAGAUUUCUUAAUUAAAGGAUAAAAAAAUAAAAAGUAAAAAAUAAAGCAGUGAAACAGAACCAAAAAGGAAAGCAAUAUUAAUUAUUUAAAAAAAAGAAAAAAAAAAAAAGAAGAAGGCAGCUGACUCUGCCAGUGCAGUCGGGCAGGCACUGAAUUCAUUGCACCGAAAUGAGGACGGAUGAGCUGAACUGAGUGGCAGGGCUUAGUGCAGCUCCGGGAGGAGGGCUCAGCUCCUUGUCCCACUAUCCAGCGCCGCACACACCACCAUUUGUGUGCUUUUGUGCUUUAUUUCCAGCCCCGCGGGCUGCCCUACGUGAUGCACGGAGCGACGUGCGUGCCCCGCUGCUGUGCAUUCCUCUCCCUUUUAUUGCCUGCUCUAUGGCUCAGCUCGCUUUUUUUUUUCUCCCCCCUCUGCGGGCAGCAGGGUUGCUCUGCUUUCCUCUCCCCAGCUCGGCUGCUGAUUCCAGAAGUUUCUACAGCAAAGGAAAUGCACGGGGGAGGGGAGCACCUACUGCGGAGCUUUGCCGCAGCCGGGCAGGCGUGGAGGAGGAGGAGGAUGCGGAGGAUGCACCACCUCCCUCUCUCUCUUUCUCUUCCCCCCUCCCUCUCUCUUUGGUUCAGGACGCUUUCCAAGCCUCUCCCCCUCGCUACAUUUCCCCAUCCUUGCAGAGGGUGCUGGGAGGUGUUUGCAAGUUGUUUUUUUUCCUUCCCCCCCCCCCCCACGCACACACACACUCCGUUUCCUCCCCCUUUGCUAAAUAAAUUAAAAGCAGAGAUGUCUCCUGAUGGAGAUGGAUGAGGCUGGGCUCACUUGCAUGCACUGUGCCCCAGCUCCGAUCUGCUGCUUAGGGCAGAAGUGACCUUUCCCAGGCAGUGGGAGGGAGCUUCCCCCCACCCUGCUAUGCUGCUGCUUGGAAUUCAUCUUACAUAGCAGCCUCAUUUUUUUUUUUUUAUCCCCCCCUCCAAAGAACAGCUUGCUGCUACAGUGAUUGUUUUUUAUUAUUUUUAUUUAAUUAUUAUUUUCAGCCCAUGUUGCAGCUUCCUUAUGAUCGUUUUGUGUGUGUGUGUGUGUGUGUAUGCUUUGAACUGCAUUUUAAAUUUGCCCAGCUGGAGACAAGUCUCGAUUAGAGCUGGAACAAUAGCUCCAUUUUAUUAAUAAUGGGAAGGAUUUACGAUUCUACAGCACCUUCCUUGGAAGGCUUUCAAAACCAUUUGCAAACUCUCACAAAUGUAAGCUUUCACAGCCCUGCCUGUGAGGUGGGGAAAUGCAGGAUUGUUUGUGUAACUCCCACUCUACAGCAGAUAGCUUCUCUGUCACCAUGACUUCAAUGUGCACAGUCCAAGCAGUCACUUGUGAGCAAGGAGAGCAGGUAUUGGCACCUCCUCAUUAGCCUUCAUCAAUGAGAAUAUUGGCUAUGGUGUUGCGUGAGUGCCACUGGCUGACCAAUGGAGGGGCCCUACCCUGCUAAGCUGGAGCAACACUUUCUGAGUGGUGAUUUCAUUGCCUGGUUGCUGCAGUGAUUUGGAGCACAGCUGUGACGUUAUGCUUUUUCUGGCAAAAAUUUAGCUGAGGGGCCACUGUACCCUGUGGGAAUUGUACUACUUUUCUGUGGCAGUUUGGGAUAACUGAGGGCUUCCUUGGGAGUGUUGGACUUCUACCGCCACACGCUUUGGAUUGAAGAGUUACCAGAACGACAUCUGUGAGGUUUCCAAGCUAAACAAAACCUGAAUUUCUGGUGCAAAAAGCAACGUGAUUUCUGUCAUUCCUGCUGGGCAUUGCACGUGGGCCUUUUCAUGGAGAGGUAACGCCCUGCAGCUGUGUGUUAAACAUGGCAACAUACAGGAUACAGUGAUCUCUCCACUCCCAGGAGCCUGGAAGACUGAAGCCCUCUGCCUAGAGGAUGAAAUGCUUCAUGUUUGGAAAAAAAACUAGCAGGCUUUGUCUGUGACAGCUCCUUUCCUGUGGAUGUCCUUCCAGCCAGGCUGCCCGCAGUGUGACAGCAGUGACCCUGUGUGAGGUUUCUUUGAAGGACCUGGGAGACUGCGUGGCUUUUUCUUGUCCCUCGGAGGUGCUUCCCUGGCAGGGAGGGAGGAAAAUGAUUGGCAGUGCUGUCACAGGAGGCAUGCUUACCUGGCUAGGGGAAAGCUUGGUGUGGAAAAGCCAGCUGGUGCAUGGUUUGGGGAAGGAGAGGUUCCUUUCUCUCCAGAAUGGAAUCCCUUAAGGAAGGUAUAGACAAGCAGUUCCUGCUCUUGGGGCUUCUGGCUGGUUAAAACAAAGAGCUGAGCCCAUUUCCAUGGAGAAAUGUAUAAUAGAGCACGUUGCAGUGCUUUUCCUUGCGUGUGCGUGGCUUGGUCACACGUUUAACUAAUAGAUGGUUUGCAUGCAAGAGGUUAUUGCUUUUUUAUACUUUCAAUCAGUCCAUCUCCAUUGGGCAGAGCAGCUUCACAGCCACCAGCACGGGGGAAACUGAGGCACGGGGCUACAGUGGGAUUACAGGCAGAGCCGGGGAUAAGGCUCAGGUUUGCCGAGGCUCAGACCGACGUGCGUCAGAGGGCUGAUUAAAUGGAGAGAUUUGCAAAGGGAAGUGACCUAUAGCUCCAUGGCCGGGACGGUGUUGCUGGACUCGAUCCUUGUGGGCACCUUCCAACUCAAAGGGCAGUUUGGUCAGGGGAAGGGCUGGGUAAGCACGGCGAGCGCGGCCGACAGGGAGCGAGAUGUGGUGAGCUCCUUCCAUUGCCUUAGCCUGGAGCACAGCCAACCCGCGGGGCUCAUCCAGCACUGAACUUUGGAGUCGUUGCAGAUAAACAGCGCUAUAGGCUAAUAAAAGGCUCUGCCACGCAGGGCCCGGUCUGCCCGCACCGCAAUGACUUUGUUACGUGCUGACUGCAGUGAGGGACGGCGCUGGGUUUGCCUUCUCCUGGCCUUGGAUGGAGAGGAGCGGGCAGAACCUCGAGGCCUUUUGCCCCGCACCCGUUUCUGCACGGCAGCCCUUUACAUUUCACAGCGUGCUCCAUUUUUUUUCCUACUCCUAUUCCUUUUGUAGCAUAGCCCCCCUUUUUUGCAACAGUCCCCCUUUCUUCCUUCGUACCGUAUGUUUUAUUUGCUUAUUUCUUUAUGUGCAAUCCCUUAAUCCAUCACCUUGCAUUGCAGCCCCGCUUUUCGGCAUGCAUCCCUUGCUUUCCACAACCCACCUCGUGCAUUUAUUACUUUCCAUCGCAGCUCCCGUUUCUGGCUCGCACCUCCUCUUUUUUUUUUUUUUUUUUUUUUUGCCGUGCUUCCUUUAUCUAUGACUUCCCAUCCCAGCCCUGUUUGUAUCUGCCAUACAGUCCCUCCGUCACGUCGCGUUACACCGCGCUCUGCCCGCUCCGCUCCCGCAGC
This 6767-nucleotide long non-coding RNA is filed under the name Gallus gallus (chicken). RNAcentral describes it as "lncRNA (ENSGALG00010022114.1)". Lineage: Eukaryota; Metazoa; Chordata; Aves; Galliformes; Phasianidae. The record is from RNAcentral.